UGUAUGUCUGCUGGUCAAUAUCCC
Molecule: non-coding RNA, 24 nt
Filed under: Rattus norvegicus (Norway rat)
Lineage: Eukaryota; Metazoa; Chordata; Mammalia; Rodentia; Muridae
Source: RNAcentral